Molecule: microRNA precursor, 90 nt
Filed under: Choloepus hoffmanni (Hoffmann's two-fingered sloth)
Lineage: Eukaryota; Metazoa; Chordata; Mammalia; Pilosa; Megalonychidae
Description: miRNA (ENSCHOG00000014507.1)
Source: RNAcentral
ACCCAGAACCCCAUCUUCUGACGCCUAGUCCAGUGCUAUCUCCAAGGGUGCUAAGCCGUGACAAGCUCCCAGGAAGCUGCCUAGGGCUGA